CCUACGGGAGGCAGCAGUGGGGAAUAUUGGACAAUGGGCGAAAGCCUGAUCCAGCCAUGCCGCGUGUGUGAAAAAGGUCUUCGGAUUGUAAAGCACUUUAAGUUGGGAGGAAGGGCAUUUACCUAAUACGUAAGUGUCUUGACGUUACCGACAGAAUAAGCACCGGCUAACUCUAUGCCAGCAGCCGCGGUAAU
RNAcentral lists this ribosomal RNA (194 nucleotides) under uncultured bacterium. RNAcentral describes it as "partial 16S ribosomal RNA". It matches the Rfam family "Bacterial small subunit ribosomal RNA", at positions 338 to 524 of the family's 1533-position model. The record is from RNAcentral.